RNAcentral lists this ribosomal RNA (425 nucleotides) under uncultured bacterium. RNAcentral's name for it is "bacterial SSU rRNA". It matches the Rfam family "Bacterial small subunit ribosomal RNA", at positions 9 to 429 of the family's 1533-position model. The record is from RNAcentral.
GAGUUUGAUCGUGGCUCAGGACGAACGCUGGUGGCGUGCCUAACACAUGCAAGUCGAGCGGAAAGGCUCCUUCGGGAGUACUCGAGCGGCGAACGGGUGAGUAACACGUGGGUAAUCUGCCCAGGACACAGGAAUAACCAGUGGAAACGCUGGCUAAUGCCUGAUGAAGUGCCGGCCCUGCGGGGCUUGGUACCAAAGGUAGCUUCGGCCUCCGGUCUUGGAUGAGCCCGCGGCCCAUUAGCUUGUUGGCGGGGUAACGGCCCACCAAGGCGACGAUGGGUAGCUGGUCUGAGAGGACGAUCAGCCACACUGGGACUGAGACACGGCCCAGACUCCUACGGGAGGCAGCAGUGGGGGAAUCUUGCGCAAUGGGCGAAAGCCUGACGCAGCAACGCCGCGUGCGGGAGAAGGCCUUCGGUUGUAAG